GAAUAUUGCUCAAUGGGCGCAAGCCUGAAGCAGCGACGCCGCGUGGACGAUGAAGGCUUUCGGGUCGUAAAGUCCUUUUUUGGGUGACGAGCAGGGACGGUCGCCCAAGAAUAAGUGUCGGCUAACUACGUGCCAGCAGCCGCGGUAAAACGUAGGACACGAGCGUUAUCCGGAGUUACUGGGCGUAAAGGGCGUUUAGGUGGGUGAUUAAGUUCGCUAUGAAAGCGCCGGGCUAAACCCGGCGAGGCUGGCGGAUACUGGUCAUCUGGAGUGAGGAAGAGGGAAGUAGAAUUCCGCGUGUAGUGGUGAAAUGCGUAGAGAUGCGGAGGAAUACCAGUGGCGAGGGCGACUUCCUGGUCCUCAACUGACACUGAAGCGCGAAAGCAUGGGGAGCGAAC
Molecule: ribosomal RNA, 398 nt
Filed under: uncultured bacterium
Lineage: Bacteria
Description: bacterial SSU rRNA
Rfam family: Bacterial small subunit ribosomal RNA
Source: RNAcentral